AUACUACUCCCUCCGUCCCAUGAUUCUUGUCGAAAUAUUACAUUUAUCUAGACGCUUUUUAGGAAUAGAUACAUCCAUUUUUGCGCAAAUUUGAGACAAGAAUUAUGGGACGGAGGGAGUACCUC
Brachypodium distachyon (stiff brome) is the source of this 125-nucleotide non-coding RNA. The record is from Rfam. NCBI's taxonomy places the organism in Eukaryota, Viridiplantae, Streptophyta, Magnoliopsida, Poales, Poaceae.